GAUGAACGCUGGCGGCGUGCCUAACACAUGCAAGUCGAACGGAAUUUACAUGAAGCCUAGCGAUUGUAAAUUUAGUGGCGGACGGGUGAGUAACGCGUGGGUAACCUGCCUUUCAGAGGGGGACAACAGUUGGAAACGACUGCUAAUACCGCAUGACGCAUUUUGAUCGCAUGGUCGAAAUGCCAAAGAUUUAUCGCUGAAAGAUGGCCUCGCGUCUGAUUAGCUAGUUGGCGGGGUAACGGCCCACCAAGGCGACGAUCAGUAGCCGGACUGAGAGGUUGACCGGCCACAUUGGGACUGAGAUACGGCCCAGACUCCUACGGGAGGCAGCAGUGGGGAAUAUUGGGCAAUGGGCGCAAGCCUGACCCAGCAACGCCGCGUGAAGGAAGAAGGCUUUCGGGUUGUAAACUUCUUUUAAGUGGGAAGAGUAGAAGACGGUACCACUUGAAUAAGCCACGGCUAACUACGUG
Molecule: ribosomal RNA, 470 nt
Filed under: uncultured bacterium
Lineage: Bacteria
Description: bacterial SSU rRNA
Rfam family: Bacterial small subunit ribosomal RNA
Source: RNAcentral